GAUGAACGCUGGCGGCGUGCCUAAUACAUGCAAGUCGAGCGAACAGACGAGGAGCUUGCUCCUCUGACGUUAGCGGCGGACGGGUGAGUAACACGUGGAUAACCUACCUAUAAGACUGGGAUAACUUCGGGAAACCGGAGCUAAUACCGGAUAAUAUAUUGAACCGCAUGGUUCAAUAGUGAAAGACGGUUUUGCUGUCACUUAUAGAUGGAUCCGCGCCGCAUUAGCUAGUUGGUAAGGUAACGGCUUACCAAGGCGACGAUGCGUAGCCGGCCUGAGAGGGUGAUCGGCCACACUGGAACUGGGACACGGUCCCGACUCCUACGGGAGGCAGCAGUAGGGAAUCUUCCGCAAUGGGCGGAAGCCUGACGGAGCAACGCCGCGUGAGUGAUGAAGGUCUUCGGAUCGUAAAACUCUGUUAUUAGGGAAGAACAAAUGUGUAAGUAACUAUGCACGUCUUGACGGUACCUAAUCAGAAAGCCACGGCUAACUACGUG
This 497-nucleotide ribosomal RNA is filed under the name uncultured bacterium. Its description in RNAcentral is "partial 16S ribosomal RNA". It matches the Rfam family "Bacterial small subunit ribosomal RNA", at positions 28 to 507 of the family's 1533-position model. The record is from RNAcentral.